RNAcentral lists this ribosomal RNA (208 nucleotides) under uncultured bacterium. RNAcentral's name for it is "partial 16S ribosomal RNA". It matches the Rfam family "Bacterial small subunit ribosomal RNA", at positions 568 to 774 of the family's 1533-position model. The record is from RNAcentral.
AGCGCAGGCGGACCGGUAAGUUGGAAGUGAAAACUAUGGGCUCAACCCAUAAAUUGCUUUCAAAACUGCUGGCCUUGAGUAGUGCAGAGGUAGGUGGAAUUCCCGGUGUAGCGGUGGAAUGCGUAGAUAUCGGGAGGAACACCAGUGGCGAAGGCGACCUACUGGGCACCAACUGACGCUGAGGCUCGAAAGCAUGGGUAAGCAAACA